Molecule: ribosomal RNA, 506 nt
Filed under: uncultured bacterium
Lineage: Bacteria
Description: partial 16S ribosomal RNA
Rfam family: Bacterial small subunit ribosomal RNA
Source: RNAcentral
AGUGAACGCUGGCGGUAGGCCUAACACAUGCAAGUCGAACGGCAGCACAAGAGAGCUUGCUCUCUGGGUGGCGAGUGGCGGACGGGUGAGGAAUACAUCGGAAUCUACUCUGUCGUGGGGGAUAACGUAGGGAAACUUACGCUAAUACCGCAUACGACCUACGGGUGAAAGCAGGGGACCUUCGGGCCUUGCGCGAUUGAAUGAGCCGAUGUCGGAUUAGCUAGUUGGCGGGGUAAAGGCCCACCAAGGCGACGAUCCUUAGCUGGUCUGAGAGGAUGAUCAGCAACACGGGAACGGAGGCACGGCCCAGACUCCUACGGGAGGAAGCAUUGGGGAAUAUUGGACAAGGGGCGCAAGCCUGAUGCAGCCAUACCGCGUGGGUGAAGAAGGCCUUCGGGUUGUAAAGCCCUUUUGUUGGGAAAGAAAUCCAGCUGGCUAAUACCCGGUUGGGAUGACGGUACCCAAAGAAUAAGCACCGGCUAACUUCGUGCCAGCCGCCGCGGUAA